Long non-coding RNA from Gallus gallus (chicken), 1189 nucleotides. Lineage: Eukaryota; Metazoa; Chordata; Aves; Galliformes; Phasianidae. The record is from Ensembl.
AUCAUCUCUCUGAACAGACACUGCACUUCUCUUGAGCUGUUGCUGGUUGUCAGAAGGACAAAAACUGCAGCAGAAUGGGGAGAGUGUCCUGGUCUCUAAAAGCAGCAAACAAGAAACAGAAAGUGGAGAAAGCAGAAAGUAAAUCUCUUAUUACAAUUGAGAAGAAUGAGCCCAAUCUCCGUAAUAAAUUUCUAAUAGUGGUUUACAAUUACUUGUUAUAAAAAAGUAGUGGAAUUAACUGAGCUUAAAUUUUGAAUGACAGCUCAAUAAGGAUGAUUUGGUUUUAGACAACUUCAGUGAAAAUAUAUAUAUUUUUUUCUGAAAAUAAGUAUUAUAUUUUAUUUGUAUUAAAAACUAUGAAGGUUUAAAAAUAUGGUUUAAACAUCUUCAGGAAAAUUAUUCCAUAUAAGAGUGGAUCAUUUAUCUUAAAACUGCUAGUCACACCUUUUCAUUGUAUCAUUGUUAAAUUCUUCAAAAAUUUAAUUGGUAUUAACUACAUUCUCUACUACAAAUCCAAAUUGGACUUUAAUAAUAAUAAUGAGCCUAUGGGACUGCUCAUGGUAGAUCCUCUUUGCUAUUAAGGAUCAUUUUAGGGAAGGGAUCUGGUAAGACUGACACAGAAAGAGAGGUGGAGGAACUGCAAGUAUUUGGAUUUCAGAUUAGCACUCAAAGUAAGAACCCAGAGAGUGGAUCUCAUCCAAAAGCAAGUUGGUCCAAAUUAUGACUGAAGAGAAGGAAAUAUACAGGGAAAGAAAGACUUGUGGCUGCAGAAGUAUUUGAAAUUCCAGUAUUGGGGUCUCUUAGACAGAAUGUUCAGCCAAAAUGUAAAUAUGCGUCUUAAAGGGAAAAGGUUGGUUUGCACAUACAAAUGUAGUGAUUGCUCAGAGACUGAGUUGAAACCAAGUAUUUAGUACUUGUCUGACAAAGAGGUUGUCAACACUGUGACUAGUUAGGCUAAUUAGCUGCAGUAGUAUUAAGAAAAGAUCCUGUAGAAAUUUAAAAUGCCUCCCUUGAUGAAAGUUUUUAUUUGAAUUCAGUAAAUAGGGCAAACUUUGAUUUAGUAACAUAAUAAAUAACUUCAUUACAUGAGGAGUGUUUGCACUUACUAGGCAGAUGUACCAAUGGAAAAAAAAAAAAAGAAAUUAAAUACUUUGUCAUAACAUGUAUAUAAUAAAAUUGGAUUAAACUG